This 284-nucleotide long non-coding RNA is filed under the name Monodelphis domestica (gray short-tailed opossum). RNAcentral describes it as "lncRNA (ENSMODG00000046743.1)". Lineage: Eukaryota; Metazoa; Chordata; Mammalia; Didelphimorphia; Didelphidae. The record is from RNAcentral.
CCCAAGUGGGCCCAGAUGACACAUUUGGUGAAGAAGUCCUGGGCCAGACAUAAUAGGUCCCAGGGUUCCAAUGGGAAUGUGGCUAAGGUGAGCCAUUAAUGCUGGCAUCUCCCUCAGGUGUAUCCCCUUCAGCCGUUUGGAGCAAGGGAUGGAGAGACUUCGAAUAGUCUCUUCGGGGGCGGUGGUGAAGAGGAGGCCCCUGCCCAUGGCACCUUUCAGAAGUAGAGCUGACAGACCUCGGUACCUGCUUGGAUGUGGGGCAGAAUGGAGAACAAAGUCAGUUU